CGGCAAUGGCGCUGCUUAACAUGCAGUCGAACGGCAGCACGGGAGCAAUCCUGGUGGCGAGUGGCGAACGGGUGAGUAAUACAUCGGAACGUGUCCUGGAGUGGGGGAUAGCCCGGCGAAAGCCGGAUUAAUACCGCAUACGCUCUGUGGAGGAAAGGGGGGGAUCUUAGGACCUCCCGCUCAAGGGGCGGCCGAUGGCAGAUUAGCUAGUUGGUGGGGUAAAGGCCUACCAAGGCGACGAUCUGUAGCUGGUCUGAGAGGACGACCAGCCACACUGGGACUGAGACACGGCCCAGACUCCUACGGGAGGCAGCAGUGGGGAAUUUUGGACAAUGGGGGAAACCCUGAUCCAGCAAUGCCGCGUGUGUGAAGAAGGCCUUCGGGUUGUAAAGCACUUUUGUCCGGAAAGAAAACCAUCGCCCUAAUAUGGUGGUGGGAUGACGGUACCGGAAGAAUAAGCACCGGCUAACUACGUGCCAGCAGCCGCGGUAAUACGUAGGGUGCAAGCGUUAAUCGGAAUUACUGGGCGUAAAGCGUGCGCAGGCGGUUCGCUAAGACAGAUGUGAAAUCCCCGGGCUUAACCUGGGAACUGCAUUUGUGACUGGCGGGCUAGAGUAUGGCAGAGGGGGGUAGAAUUCCACGUGUAGCAGUGAAAUGCGUAGAGAUGUGGAGGAA
Molecule: ribosomal RNA, 675 nt
Filed under: bacterium
Lineage: Bacteria
Description: bacterial SSU rRNA
Rfam family: Bacterial small subunit ribosomal RNA
Source: RNAcentral